CUUCAACAUAAGCUACAGAGCUUUUUCGGGGCCAGUGGGAAGUUCUGCCUCACUGACCACAACAAGUGGACUAGGAACCAGAUGGCAUGUGGGGAAAAAGGCUAUAUAUAUGGAAUUCAAAAUGACAUUUUCCAGCGAUUCAUUUGACUGAACUCAAUUUGACCUUCACAUUGGCCUAAGAAAACCGUAAAUGAUGGGCCUACAUCGCCACAUGUUACCACUUAUAAUUUAAAUGACAUAUAAAGCAAGUGUAAACCUUGGAUUUUAGAGAGCCACUUCUUCCCAGUGCUCAAGCAUUUCACACAGAAAUACCUGCUAACAGCCCUGCUGUGGACCCCUAGAUGAUAUUUACAGAAAAUGUGUUGCCUCAAAACCGGAAGGAGAGAAUAACCCACAAAGAGCACAAAUCACAAAGCAACUGAUUCCACAGAAAGUCCGUCAGGGGGACGUGGCCUCCCUGUGUGUUUACCGAGCAGACCCUUCCCCAGUCUGCCCAGGACACUGGACUGAUUUUCUCCCUUUUGGCACAUCACUUUGCAUUUCAAAAAUUAGCGGUCUAUUCUGGAAACCAUCUUC
Hyaena hyaena (striped hyena) is the source of this 576-nucleotide long non-coding RNA. RefSeq lists it as uncharacterized. The transcript has 4 exons. NCBI's taxonomy places the organism in Eukaryota, Metazoa, Chordata, Mammalia, Carnivora, Hyaenidae. The record is from RefSeq and is a predicted model, not a curated record.